GCCCGGGUGGCGGAAUGGCAGACGCGGAGGACUCAAAAUCCUUUGCUCGAGAGGGCGUGCGGGUUCGAGUCCCGCCCCGGGCA
This 83-nucleotide transfer RNA is filed under the name Acidobacteriota bacterium. RNAcentral's name for it is "Acidobacteria bacterium (mine drainage metagenome) tRNA-Leu". It matches the Rfam family "tRNA". Rfam says of the family: Transfer RNA (tRNA) molecules are approximately 80 nucleotides in length. Lineage: Bacteria; Pseudomonadati; Acidobacteriota. The record is from RNAcentral. RNAcentral also lists the same sequence under 4 other names.